RNAcentral lists this ribosomal RNA (269 nucleotides) under Stenotrophomonas maltophilia. Its description in RNAcentral is "partial 23S ribosomal RNA". It matches the Rfam family "Bacterial large subunit ribosomal RNA", at positions 1 to 268 of the family's 2925-position model. Lineage: Bacteria; Pseudomonadati; Pseudomonadota; Gammaproteobacteria; Lysobacterales; Lysobacteraceae. The record is from RNAcentral.
GUUAUAUGGUCAAGCGAAUAAGCGCACACGGUGGAUGCCUUGGCGGUCAGAGGCGAUGAAGGACGUGGCAGCCUGCGAAAAGUAUCGGGGAGCUGGCAACAAGCUUUGAUCCGGUAAUGUCCGAAUGGGGAAACCCACCCGCUUGCGGGUAUCCUGCAGUGAAUACAUAGCUGCUGGAAGCGAACCUGGUGAACUGAAAUAUCUAAGUAACCAGAGGAAAAGAAAUCAACCGAGAUUCCGUCAGUAGCGACGAGCGAACGCGGACUAGC